RNAcentral lists this ribosomal RNA (301 nucleotides) under uncultured bacterium. Its description in RNAcentral is "partial 16S ribosomal RNA". It matches the Rfam family "Bacterial small subunit ribosomal RNA", at positions 509 to 809 of the family's 1533-position model. The record is from RNAcentral.
CAGCCGCCACGGUAACACGUAGGUCCCGAGCGUUGUCCGGAUUUAUUGGGCGUAAAGCGAGCGCAGGCGGUUAGAUAAGUCUGAUGUGAAAGCCCCCGGCUCAGCCGGGGAGGGUCAUUGGAAACUGGGAAACUUGAGUGCAGAAGAGGAGAGUGGAAUUCCACGUGUAGCGGUGAAAUGCGUAGAGAUGUGGAGGAACACCAGUGGCGAAGGCGACUCUCUGGUCUGUAACUGACGCUGAGGAGCGAAAGCGUGGGGAGCGAACAGGAUUAGAUACCCCCGUAGUCCCUGUCUCUUAUAA